ACCACUGCUAAUCUAUACCGCUGCCAAUCUAUCUAUCGCUGCUAAUCUAUCGCUGCUGUCAAUCUAUCUACCACUGCCAAUCUAUCUAUUGCUGCCAAUCUAUCUACCACUGCUAAUCUAUCGCUGCUAAUCUAUCGCUGCUAAUCUAUUGCUGCUAAUCUAUCUAUCACUGCUAAUCUAUCGCUGCCAAUCUAUCUACUGCUGCCAAUCUAUCUACCACUGCCAAUCUAUCUACCGCUGCCAAUCUAUCUACCACUGCUAAUCUAUCACUGCUAAUCUAUUGCUGCCAAUCUAUAUAGAGUAAAUCAUGAUUCCAUUUGAUUCCAUUUUGUAAAAUGGAAUCAAAUGAAACUGAGAUCACUAAUUUAUUAGUAAAAUAUGAUCUGAGACUAGAUUUAUAAUAUAAACAGUAUAAAGUAAUUAAUUUACUAAAUACUAUAUAGAAUCAGAACUAAGAUAUCUAAUAAUA
RNAcentral lists this small RNA (469 nucleotides) under Histoplasma capsulatum. RNAcentral's name for it is "hypothetical RNA". The record is from RNAcentral. RNAcentral also lists the same sequence under 1 other name. Lineage: Eukaryota; Fungi; Ascomycota; Eurotiomycetes; Onygenales; Ajellomycetaceae.